RNA transcript from Daktulosphaira vitifoliae (grape phylloxera), 1006 nucleotides. RefSeq lists it as uncharacterized. Lineage: Eukaryota; Metazoa; Arthropoda; Insecta; Hemiptera; Phylloxeridae. The transcript is spliced from 2 exons. The record is from RefSeq and is a predicted model, not a curated record.
GAGGAGACAAGGACAAGUUGUCAUCCUUAAGCUCUAAUUAAAUCUCUUAAAGAAAAUAUUCACCACACAGUUUUAUUAGAAAUUCUGGAUAUAUAAAAUAAUCGAUGAAAGCAAAUGUUUUGGAUGUAACAAAUACAGUAGCGGUGAUUCGGGAAUAUACUUUUUUUCACCAUGUGGACAUGGCUGGUCAUGUGAAAGGUGUGUUAAAAAAAUUGAAGCUUGUCCUGUAUGUAAUGAAUUGAUUACAAGUACUCAAGAACUAAAUAUACAAACAUCUGUGUCAAUAGUACCCGAAAGUAUAUAAAUUAUAAUUACUUAUUGAAACAUUAAUGAAAUAAAAUAUUGAGGUUGAAAUAAAUAAAAACUUGAGUGGUCUACAGGGGCGGAUCCAGAAUUUAUUCCAGGGGGGGCGUCAUUAGAUACAUAUUUUUCUUUUAAGAACUGAUUUAUUAUUUUGUGUUUAUUACAUUUCUAUUUUUAAACAUUCGUUUAAUGCUUGCUGCAUAAUAAUUUGUUUAAUUACUAUAGUAUAUGGUUUUUAAUGACUCUGAGGACAUAGGUAUAUAAAAAUAAACGCGUUAAUCAAAAUUAAUUGCAUAUGAAGAACUUCAUUUGAAAUUAUAAGCUAUUUACCAAAUAAAAACAAAAUAUAGGGUCAAGUGGGUUAAAUGGAAAUGAAAUUUACAUGUUUUACGACUUUUAUUAGAUUCAUGUAGUAAUAAUUUUUUUUAAUUUUGGUUUAGAUAAAAACUAUUUAACUAUAUACAAUAUGUGUCUAUUAUUUCAAUCAAACGUUUAAAUAGUUGAUUAUCUUAAGAGAAAAAAAUAAUAUAAAAUUGCAUAAAAAAUUUACAUUUGCCCCAAACUUCUGGGGUAAAUGAAAAUAUCUAUUUCCAACAGCAAGUGUUAUAUUGAACAAACAUAAUGGGCAAAUGAAAUUGUUCUGUUACAGCUAUCGUUAUAUUAUUUCAUAUAUUCGAUACCUACAAAUUUCCAUUUGUCCCAA